AACGAACGCUGGCGGCAGGCCUAACACAUGCAAGUCGAGCGCGCCCUUCGGGGUGAGCGGCGGACGGGUGAGUAACGCGUGGGAACGUGCCCUUCUCUGCGGAAUAGCCCCGGGAAACUGAGAGUAAUACCGCAUACGCCCUUUGGGGGAAAGAUUUAUCGGAGAAGGAUCGGCCCGCGUUGGUUUAGGUAGUUGGUGGGGUAAUGGCCCACCAAGCCGACGCUCCAUAGCUGGUUUGAGAGGAUGAUCAGCCACACUGGGACUGAGACACGGUCCAGACUCCUACGGGAGGCAGCAGUGGGGAAUCUUAGACAAUGGGGGCAACCCUGAUCUAGCCAUGCCGCGUGAGUGAUGAAGGCCUGAGGGUUGUAAAGCUCUUUCAGCUGGGAAGAUAAUGACGGUACCAGCAGAAGAAGCCCCGGCUAACUCCGUG
This 433-nucleotide ribosomal RNA is filed under the name uncultured bacterium. RNAcentral's name for it is "partial 16S ribosomal RNA". It matches the Rfam family "Bacterial small subunit ribosomal RNA", at positions 29 to 507 of the family's 1533-position model. The record is from RNAcentral.